AGCAACUUGACGCAGUGGAAGCGUGCAGGGCUCAUAGAGGGCACCCUGAAGUCCCUGGAUCGAAACCAGGAGUUGCUA
Non-coding RNA from Rhodofomes roseus, 78 nucleotides. NCBI's taxonomy places the organism in Eukaryota, Fungi, Basidiomycota, Agaricomycetes, Polyporales, Fomitopsidaceae. The record is from the annotation of a RefSeq genome assembly.